This 82-nucleotide transfer RNA is filed under the name Candidatus Omnitrophota bacterium. Its description in RNAcentral is "Candidatus Omnitrophica bacterium (groundwater metagenome) tRNA-Tyr". It matches the Rfam family "tRNA". From Rfam's summary of the family: Transfer RNA (tRNA) molecules are approximately 80 nucleotides in length. Their secondary structure includes four short double-helical elements and three loops (D, anti-codon, and T loops). Further hydrogen bonds mediate the characteristic L-shaped molecular structure. tRNAs have two regions of fundamental functional importance: the anti-codon, which is responsible for specific mRNA codon recognition, and the 3' end, to which the tRNAs corresponding amino acid is attached (by aminoacyl-tRNA synthetases). tRNAs cope with the degeneracy of the genetic code in two manners: having more than one tRNA (with a specific anti-codon) for a particular amino acid; and 'wobble' base-pairing, i.e. permitting non-standard base-pairing at the 3rd anti-codon position. The record is from RNAcentral. Lineage: Bacteria; Pseudomonadati; Candidatus Omnitrophota.
GGGCAGGUACCAAAGCGGCCAACUGGGGCAGACUGUAAAUCUGCUGGCUUUGCCUUCGGGGGUUCGAAUCCCUCCCUGCCCA